Molecule: long non-coding RNA, 978 nt
Organism: Mastomys coucha (southern multimammate mouse)
Lineage: Eukaryota; Metazoa; Chordata; Mammalia; Rodentia; Muridae
Exons: 6
Source: RefSeq, a predicted model, not a curated record
CAGGGUUUUUUUUUUCCAGUAUGAUAAUAGAGAAACCUCCUGUAGGACUAUAAUUACCCAAGGGGGAAUUACCUAGGUUCAUAUCCAUAGGUCCUAGUCUCUCAGGCACUGGGAUUGCAACAUGCUGCCACCAGACCCACUUGAGACAUUGUAAGGCAAUAACUACAUUUUGGUUUUUGAAAGUGAAUGUCUGGCGAAUUUAAGCCUCAGCUUGGAUCUUCAAAAUCUCUCAAAGGCCCAUAGCUGCGACCUUGAUCAUAGGCUUUGGAAUUAUUGGGGGAUGGUAGAGUCUUAAGGAAGUGAGAUCUAGCAUGAGGACAUGCAUCAUGGUGGAUGGUCCUGAUGAAGGUCCUGAGACCACGACCACUCUCUUGCUGUACCUCCUGACUGUCAGAGGGUAAAUGCUAAUCCUCUUCACCCUGAUGUACUAGGGCUCCUUUGAGCUCUAUGUAAUGAGGACUAAGUGGCCAUGGACUGAAGCUCCUGAAAGCGACCCUCACCUCCUUUUAAAGCUGAUUUACCUCAGGUAUUUUAUCAUGGUGACAGAGAAGCUGACUGGACAGUUCUUUCUAGAAAGGUUCCCAAAUCCUCGGUUCGUGGAACCCCACGCAAGUAGGAGCUGCGGGACGGCAUCCUACACCCCAGCACCUACAAAAGCAAAUGCUGACCUCUGUUCAGAGAGGAAUGCUCAAAGAAAACAUCCACACACACUGUGCUUUGGAAUCCACCUGACAGCUGACUUUCCAUACCUCUACCUCAAGAAGGCAGGCUCCCAGUUUCACUGAUUUCUAUUAAACAGACCCUCGAGAUCACCAAGAAAGAUGAUCCAUACACCUGGAAACUUCACUUGUGUCAGCUCCCUCUUCCCUACUGGAGCAGAGCCCUCUUUGCACGCCAACUAUGCUUAUAAAGACACAUUUGAAAACUCCAUCCGUCUUGCUGGAUAUAAAUCCAAAUAAUAAAAACUGAAAAUGGAAA